AGAGUUUGAUCCUGGCUCAGAUUGAACGCUGGCGGCAGGCCUAACACAUGCAAGUCGAGCGGAUGAAGGGAGCUUGCUCCUGAAUUCAGCGGCGGACGGGUGAGUAAUGCCUAGGAAUCUGCCUAGUAGUGGGGGACAACAGUUGGAAACGACUGCUAAUACCGCAUACGUCCUACGGGAGAAAGUGGGGGAUCUUCGGACCUCACGCUAUUAGAUGAGCCUAGGUCGGAUUAGCUUGUUGGUGGGGUAAUGGCCUACCAAGGCGACGAUCCGUAACUGGUCUGAGAGGAUGAUCAGUCACACUGGAACUGAGACACGGUCCAGACUCCUACGGGAGGCAGCAGUGGGGAAUAUUGGACAAUGGGCGAAAGCCUGAUCCAGCCAUGCCGCGUGUGUGAAGAAGGUCUUCGGAUUGUAAAGCACUUUAAGUUGGGAGGAAGGGCUGUUACCUAAUACGUGACAGUUUUGACGUUACCAACAGAAUAAACACCGGCUAACUUCGUGCCAGCAGCCGCGGUAAUACGAAGGGUGCAAGCGAUAAUCGGAAUUACUGGGCGUAAAGCGCGCGUAGGUGGUUCGGUAAGAUGGAAGUGAAAGCCCCGGGCUCAACCUGGGAACUGCUUUCAUAACUGCCGAGCUAGAGAACGGUAGAGGGUAGUGGAAUUUCCUGUGUAGCGGUGAAAUGCGUAGAUAUAGGAAGGAACACCAGUGGCGAAGGCGACUACCUGGACUGAUACUGACACUGAGGUGCGAAAGCGUGGGGAGCAAACAGGAUUAGAUACCCUGGUAGUCCACGCCGUAAACGA
RNAcentral lists this ribosomal RNA (806 nucleotides) under uncultured bacterium. Its description in RNAcentral is "bacterial SSU rRNA". It matches the Rfam family "Bacterial small subunit ribosomal RNA", at positions 8 to 809 of the family's 1533-position model. The record is from RNAcentral.